GGAGAUCUUCCUCCGAGAACUCAUCAGCAACUCCUCUGAUGUAUGAUUGCUUUCUCCAAUUCUACAAUAUUUGCUGAAUUCUUUUCUUUGUUUUAUGAUUCUGACUGGAUUUUGGGGUUGUGGAUUCGUUGGGGUUUUGUAGGCGUUGGACAAGAUUCGGUAUGAGAGCCUGACGGACAAGAGCAAGCUGGACGCCCAGCCGGAGCUGUUCAUCCGGCUGGUGCCGGAUAAGGCCAACAAGACGCUCUCCAUCAUCGACAGUGGGGUCGGCAUGACCAAAGCCGGUAAGAUGCUGUCAGCUCUACACCCUAUGUUCUGUUCUUUUUAAUGCGCUUAUUUUGGUUGAAUUUACGAUUUCUGUGGUAUUUUCUGGGUUCCAAUCUGGUUGUUUCCUUUGGGUUCAUGUAUGAUGUGUACUUAUAACUUUCCAUACGAAGGAUUAGCUGAAUUAUGCUUGUGAAAUCAAAUUAAUCCUGACUUAUAUGAUUGAUAAGUUUUGUAAUUAUUGUUUUAGGAAUGUAAAUGGAUUUUUGAUGUAACACUCAUGAAUUGUGCCAGUUAAUUAUAAAUGGACUUCUUGUUGGAAUUGUUUGUUAUUGCUGUUCCUCUUGUGCGGUUUGCUUUUUCUUCUUCUUUUCUUCUUUUUUUUUUCCCUUUUUCUUUCUCAUGAUUUGAUAUGUGCGUAUAUCGAUGGAUCGGGAAUUAACGCUUAAGCUUUUUGAAAAUUAUUCUUAUUUUUGGGGUUUUUGAUAAAUUCUCAGCAUUAUACAAUUGAUUGAAUCAUAAGGUUGUGCCUCCAGAUUUUUCUAGCCAAGUCAUUCUAAACUUGUGAGAGUGGUGAAAUUGAGUUGUUGUUUAGCUGGUUUUCGAAAAUGUCUUUCAUGUUAUGUAAAACAGAGCAAACCAAGAAGCAUAUGAAAAUAAUGAGUUUUGCAUGCAUUGUUCUACCAUUUUCCAUUUAGUCUGGUGUGUUACUCUGAUGGAUUCCGUAACCAAGAGAAGCUAUAUUAAUUGACAUUAAAGUGCAUUAUAUCGUUGAAUAAUACAUGCAGCAGAAAAAUAGUUUACUGAAUUUUAUGGGAUGCUGUUGUACUUUGCUCUGAUUAUGAUAUGCUAAUUGGAUAAAUGGCUUGUGGAUUGAUUGAUGGUAUCAUCAACCUUCUCACUUUUGGGUUUGUCUGGUGCUAGACCUUGUGAACAAUUUGGGCACCAUUGCAAGGUCCGGAACCAAGGAGUUCAUGGAAGCAUUACAAGCUGGUGCUGAUGUGAGCAUGAUUGGUCAAUUUGGUGUUGGGUUCUACUCUGCUUACUUGGUUGCUGAGAAGGUUGUUGUCACAACCAAGCACAACGAUGAUGAGCAGUACAUUUGGGAGUCUCAGGCUGGUGGUUCCUUCACUGUCACCAGGGAUGUGAGUGGCGAGCAGCUUGGCAGGGGAACCAAGAUCACCCUCUACCUCAAGGAAGACCAGGUAAAAGACAAGUCCCUUUCUUUCUUAUCUCCAUGUAUCGACCCUUCUUUAUCUAUAUUUUGGUGAUCAUCAUUAUUUAAUGAUAAUGAUAAAUUUCCCUGCAGCUUGAAUACUUGGAAGAGAGGAGGCUUAAGGAUCUGGUUAAGAAGCACUCUGAGUUCAUUAGCUACCCUAUCUACCUCUGGACGGAGAAGACGACGGAGAAGGAGAUUAGCGAUGAUGAGGAUGAGGAAACCAAGAAGGAACAGGAAGGUGAUGUUGAAGAGGUUGAUGAGGAAAAGGAGACCAAAUCUAAGAAGAAGAAAGUGAAGGAGGUCUCACAUGAGUGGUCCCUUGUCAACAAGCAGAAGCCCAUCUGGCUACGCAAGCCUGAGGAGAUCACCAAGGAGGAAUAUGCCUCCUUCUACAAGAGCUUGACUAAUGACUGGGAGGACCACCUCGCCGUCAAGCACUUCUCGGUUGAGGGGCAACUUGAGUUCAAGGCUAUCCUCUUCGUGCCGAGGAGGGCUCCUUUUGACCUUUUCGACACGAGGAAGAAGAUGAACAACAUCAAGCUCUACGUCCGGAGGGUAUUCAUCAUGGACAAUUGUGAGGAGCUCAUCCCAGAGUAUCUUGGAUUUGUGAAAGGUGUCGUGGAUUCAGAUGAUCUCCCUCUCAACAUCUCCCGUGAAAUGCUUCAGCAGAACAAGAUUCUGAAGGUUAUCCGGAAGAACCUGGUGAAGAAGUGCAUUGAACUCUUCACCGAGAUUGCUGAGAAUAAGGAAGACUACAACAAGUUCUAUGAGGCCUUCUCAAAGAACCUGAAGCUGGGUAUCCAUGAGGACAGCCAGAACAGGGCUAAGCUGGCAGAUCUCCUCCGCUUCCACUCCACAAAGAGUGGUGAUGAGAUGACCAGCUUGAAAGACUAUGUGACCAGGAUGAAGGAGGGGCAGAAGGACAUCUACUACAUUACCGGUGAAAGCAAGAAGGCUGUCGAGAACUCUCCCUUCUUGGAGAAGCUCAAGAAGAAGGGCUAUGAAGUCCUGUUCAUGGUGGAUGCCAUUGAUGAGUAUGCAGUUGGGCAGCUCAAGGAAUAUGAUGGCAAGAAGCUUGUCUCAGCAACAAAGGAAGGUCUCAAGCUUGAGGAGAGUGAGGAUGAGAAGAAGAAAAAGGAGGAAAAAAAGGCUGCUUUCGAGAGCCUUUGCAAGGUCAUGAAGGACAUUUUGGGCGACAAGGUUGAGAAGGUGGUGGUGUCGGAUAGAAUUGUAGAUUCCCCUUGCUGCUUGGUUACUGGUGAGUAUGGAUGGACCGCCAACAUGGAGAGGAUUAUGAAGGCUCAGGCCUUGAGGGACAAUGGCAUGAGCUCAUACAUGUCGAGCAAGAAGACAAUGGAGAUCAACCCGGAGAAUGGAAUCAUGGAGGAGCUGAGGAAGAGGGCAGAAGCUGACAAGAACGACAAGUCGGUGAAGGACCUGGUGCUGCUUCUGUUUGAGACUGCCCUCCUGACAUCUGGGUUCAGUUUGGAGGAUCCCAACACCUUUGCUGGGAGGAUUCACCGAAUGUUGAAGCUGGGCUUGAGCAUUGAUGAAGAUGAAGCGGCCGGCGACGGCGAUACCGAUUUGCCUGAUCUGGAGGAGGAUGGCAACGAGGAGAGCAAGAUGGAAGAGGUCGAUUAGGAAUUUGAGGUUUUCAUACCACAGAUGUUUGAUAAUGUGUCUUUAGGUGAAGGAUCUGAAUCAGGUUAAAUUAGGUGUUAUCUGAGUCGUCCCCUCUGUGUUUUCUUUCCCUUCUCUUCUUUGUUGUUUCUUAGAAUGUGCGCUGCUGAUGUAAGUUUUGGUUGCGUUGUGCAUUUGGACCGAUGAGGUAAUGAUCAUAUUUUUCUGUAAUAUGCUUCUGGAUUCCUCUUAACUUCUCAUGCUCGAAGCUUUUCAAUUUUACUAUUUUUGUUGUUUCUGCGAGUAGCUGCAAUGUGUUGGAAUGCUGUAGAACAGGUUUCUCUGAACAAUUAAUCUGCAGGCUUUAAGUGGAUCAAAGAGAAGAAAAACAAAAGAUGGAAAACGUACUGUGGAGGGUUGUGCAUCUGGCAAGUAAUAGUUGUAAUUUCUCGCAAUGAUGCAUUUGGGGUUCCUCCUCCUUCUUCCACCCAGUGGUCGAAGAAUUCUGCAUCCGUGCCUGAUAUUAUUUGACACUCUUUUCAUAGCAUUAAAUUUAAAUCACUUGGAUGACAGCUCUGGAUAAUUCAUUUAGAGAUUUGAAGUUAUCAAGUUGCAGGAGUUGUUUCUCGAGCAAAGUAGUUACUCAGUCCAUGCAUAGCGUGUGGAUCGACCCAUUCAUUGGCAUUCUCUAUAGUUAAAACAUCAUGCCGUACUCUUAAACCGUUUGUAUGUAUGUAGGACCUCAAGGCAGCAGAAAGUGAAUAUUAUAAUGUUGGGCAAAGCUGAUACUUUAUGUCAGGGUAAUUAUAAUCAAACCACAAUCUAAUUCAUAAUUGUCAUAAUUUUGAGUCAAACUUGCAAUAAAACUAAUGCUGUAAGCUUGUGCAUCUACUUUUAAGUUAUUUGUUUGGUUCUCUUUUGUUGGUUUAACAGGUGAAUCUUAAUUACAAUUCUCAAUAUCAGAUCUGAAGAUAACUGCUAUCAUCAGAUGUUUGACAGCCGUGGUCUUAAAGGUGAGUCCAUCAUCCGGUGGGUAAGAUUUGGUGAAUUGGUUGAACCCUUCAGUUGUAGCAUCAGAAUUUGGUUGACAUCCAGUGUUGCUGUGAUUUUUCCUGUGUACCGAAAUUUAUGGAUAAGUUUUAGAUCGAGAAUUCAGUCGUCUGUGAUUUUUCUGGGGAAUGAAUUGGUGCACGGAGCUUGUUUUUUUUUUUUUUUUUUGGUCAAAUCGGCAUUUUAUUUCAUAUAACUCUAGCGUGAAUACAAUCCUCCGGGUCAAGUGAAAAUAAACAGUACAACGAGUAUGAAAUGUAUGCUAAACUUGUCCAAAUGACCUCUCUGGAAUGCCGGACAAUAUAAGUGGCGACCAGUUUGCUGCACUGUUCGCCUCCCGAUACACAUGAGCUAUUUAACAAGAGGUCAGCUCCCGCACCAACCUAUGGGUGUCCUGUAUCAAUAGGUGACUAUCCCCAUACCUGUCUGCUCUCCGGAUCCAGUCAAUCACUGUGGAGGAAUUACACUCGAGAAAUAGGCUGUCAGCCUCCAACACCCGUCUCGCAUACAAAAUAUCCUUCGAGGAUGCCCGUAGCUCCGCUCCCACUGUGGUCAGACUUGGUGUGCUCCCCCAUCCGGCUGCAAUAAAUCUACCACUAUCGUCCCUGAUCACAUCACCUACACCUUCAGAGGCACCAUCUCCCGCCAUGCCUUUAUCAAAAUUUACCUUAAGAUAACCAGAAGGUGGGGGUACCCAAGAGAAAUAAAUAAACCUGGAUGCUGAGACAGCGGUACAGGUACCCCAGAUAUCCUUGGCCCUCCCAAGUAAGAUCAAUGUGGCCAACAUAGUAACCUUCGUUGUACGCCGCAGGGCUCUGUCCAUCACAACCCGUGGGGACGACCUCCUGCCCUCAAACAGAUGGUUGUUCCUGUCCAGCCAUAUAUGAUAGGCCAAGUAAGCAACCACGAUCCCCGUUUCUACAAUGCUAGGCCUUUAGAGGGAAUCGCUCAGAUACCGAAGCAACUCCUCCACCAACUCCCACAGCAAAGAGAGUGGCAUAGGUGAAUAUCUCCAGAUCCACAUAGCUGUAGGGAACUGAAGAAGUACAUGAUUGAUGAUCUCCUCAGCGUUCGGACAUACCUCACAUAGCAAAGUCAUCCGCAUCUCCCGCCUGGCAAACACACUCCUAGUCGGUAGGCAGCCCCAAGCCACCUUCCAAAGGAAAAAUGCUACUCGGGGAUGCACUUUCAUCCUCCAGAUCCAUCCACCCUCAAUCUACUUGUCUGGCUCCCUGCUGGUCCAAGCAUAAAGAUCUCUGGCACGUACCCUCAACCGGCCUGAUGGCAUCCAAACCAAUCUAUCUAGCUCCACCCGUGAAGAAAUCGGUAAGGCCAAAAUCCUCUCUACCAAUUGCUCCCCAAAAGCCUCCCGGAUCAUACCCUCAUUCCAUCUUUCCUUACCGAAAACUAGCAAGUCGCAUAUCCUGUGUCCCACCAACCUGCUCGAGUCCACCAUCGUCGGUAAUCUACUGAUCGAUAACUCAAUCACCCAGCUAUCCUCAAGAACAUCAAUAGAAGUCCCGUCCCCAAUAGCCCAUUAGAUCGCCGAGAGCACCAAUGGAGCUCUAACACAAAUUUCCCUCCAAAUAGGGGAGUGAUGACGUCCUGCCCGGACAUCAGCCGACAAGGUGCCAUACUUGGCCCUCAUCAAGGAGGACCAUAUACUAUUGGGCUCCAACAAGAAACUGGCUGCGAGCCGCAUCGCCGAUGCCUCCCGUCUCACCACUAGUGAUGGCACUCCCAAUCCACCAUACCUGACCGGCUGACAAACCACCUCCCAUACCACCAGAUGGAUACUGCCUCUGUCACCAUGCCUCCCUCAGAUAAAAUUUCUGAUGAGCUGCUCAACUGACCUCAACGAUGCCACGGGAAGAAUGAAGUUGGACAGAAGAUAUAUCGGAAUGGAAUUAAGCACUGACCGCGCCAGGGUGACCCUGCCCAUUAUGGAUAGUGUAUGCAUCUGCCACUCUUCAAUCCUAUAUCUAAUACUAAGUUCAAGAGAAGAGCAAUCCCUUAUACGCAGAUGUUGUCCCAGGAUCGGAACUCUUAAGUAUCCCAGAGGACUCUCCUGCUUGCCUACACCCAUAAUCUCCAUGAUCUCGGCCUUCUCAUGAGGCUUGGUCUUCGGGCUGAAGAAGAUUGUAGACUCGGCUAAGUUGACCUAUUAGCUAGAGCAGCACAGUAGACUUGAAAGAUCCUCCUAAUCACAUGGGCGGCCUGCCUAGUCACCCGAGAUAGCAACAAGCAAUCAUCAGCAAAUGGGAGAUCGACAUAGCCCCCUACACUAGCCUAUAAACCUCCAGAGUCUGAGAGCCCACGGCAUGCCUAGAUAACGCAUCUGCACAAAUAAUAAAGAGCAAGGGGGACAAAGGACACCCCUAGCGAAGCCCAACAGAUGAGUCAAAGAAAUGAGAGGGCGCACCGUUUACCAAAAUGGAAAAGGAAGGACCCCCAACACAUCCCAUGACCCAUUUGAUCCAAAUCUCGUGGAAGCCGAAGCUAUGAAGAGAAAGUCGAAUAAAAUCCCAACACAUCCUGUCGUAUGCCCUCUCCAUAUCAAGCUUGACCCCCAUAAGGUAUCUCCUCAUCGGGGUCCUAUUGAGAUCAAACAUAAACUCCUGGGCAAUUAGAACAUUGUCUAAUAUACUCCUCCCCCUAUAACUGCUCUGGACUAAUAAUCCUGGAUAAAAUGUCCCUUAGUUUAGUUGCCAAAAUCUUCGCCGUAGCCUUGUACAAUGUGGUGCACAGGCUGAUCGGCCGAAAGUUGCCCAACUCGGUAGCAUCCUAACGCUUGGGGAUCAAGGUAACAAAAGUACUCUGCCACUCCGAAGACAUCACAGUUAUGCUGAAAACUGUUGGAUGGCCUCAAUCACAUUUGCCCAAUUAUUAUCCAAUACCUGCAAAAGAAUACUUGUGGAAAGCCAUCCGGCCUGGGUGCCUUGUCCCCUGCCAAGGACCACACCGCCUCCUGGAUCUCCCUCCCCGACACGGGCCUAAUCAAUGCUGAGGUCUCCUCAUCUAAAACUCCCUCUGAUGGCAUGGGUAGAUCAACAGGUAUCCUACUCUCCGUCCGCUCGAUCCAUCUAGCCCUGAAGAACUGCUCCAACACCCUGCAUCUUGUAUUCGGAUCCUUCGAGAUAUGUCCAUCCUCUUUGCUGAUAGCUCUGAUCCUACUCCGCUGCCUCCUGAUGAAUGUCGACUGGUGAAAAAAUUUAGUGUUCCUAUCCUCCUCAAGAAUCCACUGUACUCUUGACUUCUGCCUCCAAAAGAUCUCCUGUUGAUGAAGGAAAGAGUCAUGCAUGGCUAGGAGUGAUCUAAGCAUUGACAAUUCAUCUGUCGAUAAUCCUCCCCUCGAAGUCUCCUGUGAAGCUUGGCCCCGUGAAGCCCAAAUCAAUCAAUUCGUUGCUGUUAUGAACUCCUGAAAUUUCCUCACCUUCCUUUUGUAGGAGAAAGCCUUCCCCCCCCAUCUUUUCCUGUGGGCCAUCUAUAUAGUUAAAAUCACCUGGCACUGGUUGUCGCUAGUCAACCAACUUGCAUGCCUCCUCCCACAAUAUCCUCCGCUUCCUGAACUCUGUGCUGGCAUAACUGCUACUAAUAGCCAUGGCCUUCCGCUGUCCUCCGAAAUCACCAUUAUCACCUCUUGGUUGCAUACAUUAAAUAUGUCCAUCUUACAACAUUCCAAUUUUCAAGUAACAAUAAUGACUUCAGAUAGCCCUUGGGAUUCCAUAGCAUAGAACCCCCAUGAUCUCGGCAAAGCCCUCCUGGCUCUUAUAAUACUCCUCCUGGCUAACUGGGUCUCAAACAACAUGCAAAUAUUCGGGUUAUAUUGCUGCACCAACCUAUGAAAAGCCGAGGCAAAGGUAGGUUUUCCCGCCCUCCGGCAAUUCCAAAGGAUAAUCUUCAUAGAUAACCCGACUUACUGGCCCAACCCUCUCCCUCAGAGCCGACCCCACUGUGCUCAGCCAGGCCACUUUCACUAUACUACAGGAAAAAGGGAAAAAGCCGACGCUUAAAUGCCGACGCUAGGAAAAAGCGUCGGUAAGUUUUGCUCCCCACCAAAUUUUGCCGACGCUUUUUAUGAGUGUGGCAAUUUGAAAUAGUGGACGAUGCUUAAAAGCGUUGUUGUAGACCCCCAACUAAACGGCGCUUAAAAGCAUCGUUUUUUCGACUAAUACGACGCACUUAAGCGUCGUUGAAGGAAAAGCCUAAAACGACGCUUACAAGUGUCGGCGAAGGCGAAGUCCCCCUCCAAACCCAGUGACCGAACUCGAGCUCGCAUAUUUGCCCUAGCUACUCCCCGAGCCUCAUCUUCAUCCUCUCCGACCGACCCUGAGCUCGCAUAUUUGCCCUAGCUACUCUCCGAGCCUCGUCUUCCUCCUCUCCGGCGCUGCCCUGGCCCUCAUCUUCCUCCUCU
This 8567-nucleotide long non-coding RNA is filed under the name Phoenix dactylifera (date palm). Its description in RNAcentral is "long non-coding RNA (PDAC_LNC003790)". The record is from RNAcentral. Lineage: Eukaryota; Viridiplantae; Streptophyta; Magnoliopsida; Arecales; Arecaceae.